GUCCACGCCCUAAACGAUGCUGACUAGUUGUUCGGGAUUUACAUCCUGAGUAACGUAGCUAACGCGUGAAGUCAGCCGCCUGGGGAGUACGGUCGCAAGAUUAAAACUCAAAGGAAUUGACGGGGACCCGCACAAGCGGUGGAUGAUGUGGAUUAAUUCGAUGCAACGCGAAAACCUUACCUACCCUUGACAUGUCACUAACGAAGUAGAGAUACAUUAGGUGCUCGUAAGAGAAAGUGAACACAGGUGCUGCAUGGCUGUCGU
Molecule: ribosomal RNA, 264 nt
Filed under: uncultured bacterium
Lineage: Bacteria
Description: partial 16S ribosomal RNA
Rfam family: Bacterial small subunit ribosomal RNA
Source: RNAcentral